Molecule: non-coding RNA, 72 nt
Organism: Mus musculus (house mouse)
Lineage: Eukaryota; Metazoa; Chordata; Mammalia; Rodentia; Muridae
Source: Rfam
AGAUAGAUGGCUCAGCAGUUAAGAGCACUGACUGUUGUUCCAGAGGUCCUGAGUUCAAUUCCCAGCCAUCUC